Molecule: ribosomal RNA, 425 nt
Filed under: uncultured bacterium
Lineage: Bacteria
Description: partial 16S ribosomal RNA
Rfam family: Bacterial small subunit ribosomal RNA
Source: RNAcentral
GUGGGGAAUAUUGGACAAUGGGCGCAAGCCUGAUCCAGCCAUGCCGCGUGAGUGAUGAAGGCCUUAGGGUUGUAAAGCUCUUUCAGUGGGGACGAUAAUGACGGUACCCACAGAAGAAGCCCCGGCUAACUUCGUGCCAGCAGCCGCGGUAAUACGAAGGGGGCUAGCGUUGUUCGGAUUUACUGGGCGUAAAGCGCACGUAGGCGGAUCGUUAAGUCGGGGGUGAAAUCCUGGAGCUCAACUCCAGAACUGCCUUCGAUACUGGCGAUCUUGAGUCCGGAAGAGGUGAGUGGAACUCCUAGUGUAGAGGUGGAAGUCGUAGAUAUUAGGAAGAACACCAGUGGCGAAGGCGGCUCACUGGUCCGGUACUGACGCUGAGGUGCGAAAGCGUGGGGAGCAAACAGGAUUAGAAACCCGAGUAGUCC